RNAcentral lists this transfer RNA (63 nucleotides) under Polyphemus pediculus. Its description in RNAcentral is "tRNA-His". The record is from RNAcentral. Lineage: Eukaryota; Metazoa; Arthropoda; Branchiopoda; Diplostraca; Polyphemidae.
ACAGCUAUAGUUUAGAAAAAAUACAAAUUUGUGGCAUUUGUGAAGUGGACCCCACUAGUUGUC